AGGUACUGUCGAACGAGAUUUCAAAGAAACAGAAGGUUAGUUGAAUCGUAAUGUUCACAAUUUUGCCGUAAGCAUGAGAUCCAUAAAUGAUUGUAAUGCUGGGGUUUUUUUCGGCGAAAUUUAUUUCAACCCAGGUAAUCACUGCCGCCUUAAGCCCAUUCAAACGAGUUUAGCCUACAUUGUUGGAUAAUGUUGGAUGGAAAUUUUUAAACAUGGUCAAAAACUAUCCAACAUCAGCCAAUAUUACCCAGCACAUGUGUUCAAACGAUGCCAAUAAUAAUCGUUGAUGUUGGAUCUUCACGUGUUGCUGACAUGUUAGAAGAGCUUGUGAUGUUACUCUGAAUGUAUAUCCACACCGGGCAAGCUUGAAAAAUAUGCCUGGCCACUUUGGGAAUCGAACCUACGACCUUUGGAAUGCUAGCCCAAUGCUCUACCAACUGAGCUACGCGGUCAGGUCGGUCAGGUUUUCAUGAUUACUAGAUUACAUCGAUAUCGAAGGAACUAUAGACUCAGUUCCGAAAUAUCACAUACUCGUACCGACGUAGCUCAGUUCGAUUCCCACCGUGGUCAGGCAUAUUUUUCAAGCUUGCCCGGUGUGGAUAUACACUCAGACUAACAUCACAAGCAUCAUAUUCACCUGAGUACAUUACACCAACACGAGAAAAUUCAUGUUAGAAGAGGUUCUUAAAGCUUCUGGUGAUUGGUCGGAAUAACAAAUUUUGCACAGAGAGAAAUUUGGUGAUAGUAGCCUCUCUUCCUUCUGAAAUUUGCCAUUGAAUAAUUAAUUAAUGAGGUUAAGCCAAUAUGGCCGUCUCAAGUCUCAUUAUCUCGUGUUUGAAACGAUCUAAAACCCACUACAAGAGGAGUGGGAAGCUAGUAUAUACUUUAAGUUACGUAGAGGAAGAUAUUUCCCUGAUAGUAUAACUUAUUUUUAGACACGUAACGAUUUGAUUCGUAAAGGAAUGUGACAGAUUUAAAAUCUCUCCUCAUAAAAAUAUUUUGGCUUCAAAAUUAAUUAUCUGAAUUCAAAAAGUUGCUCGCUCCAGUCAAAGAUUUGAGAUCAGUGCAGCAGAAAGAAAAGAAUUAAGAUGUGUGUAAAGAUGCGACACGAAGCCUAUUGCAAUAAAUUAUUUCAUUAAAAUAUGCUUAAUAUUUAAUCUUAACAUUUUGGGUGUUUUUCAAGAUUGCAGAUGAAACAGAGGAAAAGAUCAACCAAUCAAGAUUAGGAUAUCGUCCUAUUGCUUUCCAUGCAUCUGUCCUGUUUUUCUCUAUCACGGAUUUACCAAAUAUUGACCCUAUGUAUCAGUCUUCCCUAAAUUGGUUCAUCAAUCUCUUUGUUAAUUCCAUCGCAGAUAG
Molecule: non-coding RNA, 1356 nt
Organism: Paramuricea clavata
Lineage: Eukaryota; Metazoa; Cnidaria; Anthozoa; Malacalcyonacea; Plexauridae
Source: the annotation of a GenBank genome assembly